AUGCAUAAAUGUGUUAUCAUCUGUUGUAUAUCAAAUGUUUCUAUGUGUGUAAUGUGUUAUAAUGUUACGCUUUUAUACUUUCUAGGUGGUUAUUAUAUUGUUUCCAUGGUUUCAAAGUGUCUUGAUUGGCUUAGUUUACAGUAGAAGUAUUAUCCUUGCCAGCCAAGAGGUUGGCAACUGUCAUGUUGAAACAAAUUGUCUGUUUGUAGAACACUGAGCAAAAUGGUACAUUAGGAUUUCUGUGGAAGGAAUGGUAGAUUAGGAAGUCUGUGCAAAUUAGGAAACAUCUAAAUAUUAAUCAAUUUUAUAAAUGUCGAGGUUACAACCACCUAGCAAUAAAAUGUCACUUUAAUAUUCCUUCAUGUUGUUGUUCAGAAAUAUGACCAGAAAGUGUUGGCUUUAAUGUAGAUGUGGAUUUGACUCUAAAGGUUGAAAAGCCUUAUCUAGGAAAAUCCUUUAAGAAAUUGAUUUAAACUAUUUAGUUAAUUGGCAAAAAUGUCAAAGCAAAAUUGAGAUCUA
Long non-coding RNA from Hydra vulgaris (swiftwater hydra), 519 nucleotides. RefSeq lists it as uncharacterized. Lineage: Eukaryota; Metazoa; Cnidaria; Hydrozoa; Anthoathecata; Hydridae. The record is from RefSeq and is a predicted model, not a curated record.